GAGGAGAGGAAAGGAGAGGAGAGGACAAAUCCUGAGGGAGAGUUGUUCGAGGCAAUGAAGGGGGGCAGAAGAGGGCAUUGGAGAAGAGCAAGGCUCUCUUUCUUCGGAAAAGAUACCCCUCCACUGAGGAGAAGUCAGAGCUGUUGGUGAGGGGGCUUCAGAUGAAGACGGUGAACAAAUGGUUCAUUAAUUACCGAUACACCAUGUUUCUUGAACUGCGGAGGCGGGCAGCAAAGAAAAUCAAAAUGGAGAGCACUGAGGCUGAUGUGGAGCGCUUGGUGGCGAGGGGCACAAACCUGGCCUUUGCC
This is a long non-coding RNA of Salarias fasciatus (jewelled blenny), 308 nucleotides long. RefSeq lists it as uncharacterized. The record is from RefSeq and is a predicted model, not a curated record. The transcript is spliced from 4 exons. NCBI's taxonomy places the organism in Eukaryota, Metazoa, Chordata, Actinopteri, Blenniiformes, Blenniidae.